ACCCUCUCAGGAUCACACCUGGAGGGAUUCCAGCACUCUACCAGUCUCGACUAUGGGAGGGAGAGUCGAGCAGAGGCCUACCCAUUCCACUUCUAGCUUGGCCAGUGGCUAGAGAGUGGAAAGAAAUCUGUUACAGAU
This is a small nucleolar RNA of Tachyglossus aculeatus (Australian echidna), 138 nucleotides long. The record is from RefSeq and is a predicted model, not a curated record. NCBI's taxonomy places the organism in Eukaryota, Metazoa, Chordata, Mammalia, Monotremata, Tachyglossidae.